RNAcentral lists this transfer RNA (84 nucleotides) under Echinostoma caproni. It matches the Rfam family "tRNA". Rfam says of the family: Transfer RNA (tRNA) molecules are approximately 80 nucleotides in length. Their secondary structure includes four short double-helical elements and three loops (D, anti-codon, and T loops). Lineage: Eukaryota; Metazoa; Platyhelminthes; Trematoda; Plagiorchiida; Echinostomatidae. The record is from Rfam by way of RNAcentral.
GGCCUUGUAGCUCACCUGGUAGAGUGUUCACUGUACAAAAGCGUAGACGGCAUCCAUGCGUGGGUUCGAAUCCCACCGAGGCCA